Molecule: long non-coding RNA, 569 nt
Filed under: Elaeis guineensis (African oil palm)
Lineage: Eukaryota; Viridiplantae; Streptophyta; Magnoliopsida; Arecales; Arecaceae
Description: long non-coding RNA (EGUI_LNC075225)
Source: RNAcentral
CCACAGAGGUCUUAAUUUAUUAGUCAUACUAAAUACUACAUAAGCUGGCAAGGAUAAGAGAAGGUUACAUAACUACUUCAAAGAAAUAAUUGAACUGACAAGAUCCCAAAGUUAUCAGCCUCAACAAUACCCAAGUUCGAGAGAAAGGCAUGUUUAUUUAAUGAAUUGGACAAGCAGGUGAAAAAAAUGGAGGGUAUUGACGAGAAACUAAACUUAUUGCUUAACUCGGAGCCAUACAUAGAGGUUCAUUUCCACUCAAGACCCUUAAUUAGAUACCUCAUGGACCACCAUAUCCACCUUAGAUCCUAUCAAUGAAUGCAACUUGUUUCUCAGGAUCGUAUGAACCUUACUUGAUAACAGCUAACAUGUAGAGCACAGAUUCAGCAUCCACAUGAAACAGCAUUAUUCUGAUGUCCUUGGCUUUGUCCUCCUUUCAUGUUCCCUUCCAUGUUUUCCAUAUGUUCAGAGAAGGUAACCAACUUGCUGAUUCCCUCACAAACCUAGGAGUCGAGCUCUUGAAUGUUAGCCUUCAGUUUUUGCAUUUUCUCAUUCACUUUUAGUUGUCUAGC